Molecule: long non-coding RNA, 4863 nt
Organism: Coturnix japonica (Japanese quail)
Lineage: Eukaryota; Metazoa; Chordata; Aves; Galliformes; Phasianidae
Source: RefSeq, a predicted model, not a curated record
CCCAUGUGUAUUUUGCUCAAUUUGUCUGACUGUUCUUUCACUAGGAAAGAAGCCUUCUCAUGUGCUGGCUCUUUGCUUGUCACAGCUUGGAUACAGGGUAGCAUGGCCCAGCCACUUUCUGCUUUUGACAGGUCUUAAUGUUGAAAUGUUCCGAGAUCCUCAAAGGUCUGAUUGCCUCCUAUACUGACACAUCGCUGCAAGACCCACAUGCAUGUCCAGGGGAUGAAGGCUCCUUAAGAGUACAAGAUGCCAAAGAUGUUCUUCUGCACAGGUGCAACAUGAAAUGGAGGUGAUUUAGGUUGUGAGCUGUCAGUUGGCUGCCUAUCAGUCACCAGGGAUGUGCUGCUCCUUGAUUGCUGUCAGCCAGCAUUACAAGACCAGUUCUGAUGGUGUAUUUGUGCUACAUUACAGAUCUUCAGCUUAGAAAACUCUGUUUCACUGUCAACAAGUUUGGCAAACCACAGUGGUUUAAUGCUAAUUCUUGUACUGGCAACUCUGCUGUAUGUAUGGGGUUCACAGUGCUCCAGUCUUGCUGAGCGAUGGAAAAAUCUUUGUGUUUUUUUUUCUAUCGAGCUUAAACCAUGAGAAGUGCUAUAUUAUAUCUGGUAAAGAGACCAAGAAAGCUAAGCAAAGCUGACAAGCCACUGUACAACUGGGGGUGUUAGAGAAACCACUGUGUACUCUAGCUUUGUACAAUUAAAUAGCCAUCUCGCUUCACACCCACAGCCACGGAGCCACUUCAUUUGUGUUAUAGGCAAAGGCAGCCUGCAACAGGCUUCAGUUAGAUGAAGAGAUCAUACUGUCAACAAGACUAAUAUUUGAUUACUAAGAGAGAGAGUCGCAGCCAGGAAUAACGCAUCUCCAAGUUUACACCCUUAUGAUCAGAAGGAUAAUCUAUUGAUAAUCUGAUUUUUAGGAAGAGUAACUGGAAAAACAGUCUGGGAGCAGCUGAGAUGGCAUUCUGCUGUGUGCCUUUGGUGAAAGGAUGUAUUAUCACAGUCCCCAGCACUUAAUCAUUGAGCGCAAUACGCAGAAAUAGUCAGAAAGUUGCAGACUGUGCUGAACGGGUUGAAAGGUUGUGGGAACAUGUUCUGGCACAGCCUUGUGCUGUGGUGAGACACAGAACAAGGGUGAAAGGAUAAACCCUCUUCUCUCCUUAAUUCAGCAUCAUCUUGCUUCCUGGAGCAGAAAUAAUUUCCAUUACUCAUUUAGGGUAACACUUUUCUAAUGCAUAUUACAUGGAAAUUUCUCAGCUGCAAAUCUUUGGUCCUGCUCAAACACUGCAAAAAAUCUUUAGUAUAUUACACAAUGAAGUAUUUGUAAACACAGCUGACUUGAGUUUAACAGGAACUUUAGCCAGUUGGAAAAUAAACCAACAGUGUAUUACAUGACAACAGACCAGCCUGGCAUGAAAACUGCCAAGAUCCUGAGGCCCUGGAGUGUUUUCAGAGUAGGGCAAUGAAGCUAUGAAGGGUCUGGAACACAUGUCUUAUGGGAAGGACCUGAGGGAGAGCUGGGAUUGUUCAGUCUGGAGGAGACUCAGGACAGAUAUUAUUGCUCUCUACAACUGCCUAAAAGGAGGUGGUGCUGAGGUGGGGAUCAGCCUUUUCUCACAGGUAACAGUAAAAUAAGAGGGAAUGGACUCAAGUUGCACCAGGUGGGAUUCAGGUUGGAUAUCAGGAAACAUUUCUUCUCAGAAAUAGAGGUGAGGCAGUGGCACAGGCUGCCCAGGGAGGUGGUGAAGUUACCAUCCCUGGAAGUGUUCAAGAGACGUGCAGGUAUGGCACCGAGGAGGACAGCUGAAAACUCACUUCCUCGUGUAACUGUUUCCCAGCUGCCUUCUUGUCACAGAACACAGAAUGGUUUGGGUUGGAAGGGACCUUAAAGCCCACCCAAUCCCAACUCCCUGCCAUGGGCAGGGCUGCCCCCUCAGCAGAGGCUGCCCAGGGAUCCAUCCAUCCCAGCCUUAAAUCCUCCAGGGAUGAGGAACCCACAGCCUUCCCGAUUGCAUUCAAUUAGUUAGGGUGGGCUAGCGAGUGCAGACAACUGUCCCCACACACAGAGGAAAGAAAAUGGCGGGUAUGGAUAGGAGCCUAAUACAGAGGCAUGGAGUGGGCCUCACAGGCUCUAAUCUUUCUUAUGUGUACCUAACAAGCACGUGAAGCUGUUUCUCCUGCCAGUGGCACCUCUUAUGCAAUGUAUUUUGUUCUUUCAGUUUUGUUCUUUCAUGGAAUAAUUUUUCCUCUGCUCAGUUCUGCCAAUGUCAGCGUUAUCAUUGCAGCUCCACUUCUUAGAAUAAUUGCAUAUGUACAAACAACCAAUUUCUAGUGAUGCAACACUCCCGAUUUUCACAUGACCACCUUACUAUCAACUACCUUCAGCAAGUAAACAGAGAUUUUAUCCUAAUGGUGUCAGAGAUAGAAGGAUGAAAGCCCAGGCAGACAAGAGUGUACUGUAUUUCACUAGUUACAGGUGAGUUAAUGUGAAAAUGACCAGCUUUACUCAGUGAGCUUUGUCUUUGCUGCUUGGGUUUGUGAGCCCAACUCUUCAGCUGUAUUCUCAACAGCACGUGGUGAACACACUCACAGGGCAACCAGAGAGUUAUGAAAUGUAUGGUCCAAAUAAAAUAUCCAGGCAUGGUUAAAGAAGUGGAUGUUUAAGGAUACUUUACCAAACAAUUCAGCCUUUCUUCUUUAGACAAGGGAGAAGUACAUCAUAAAGCUGAGUCUUCAGGGUGAAUGAAAGACACAGUGGCUUUGUGUUAAUACUGGUAGAACAACUACAGAGGUACUUCGGUAUGAAGGAACGGAGCGCUCCCUUCACUGCUUUACUUAGACUUGGGAAUAUUUUGAUGUUCUGUAUGUGCAAUCUAUUUAGCUCGCUAGAGAGACCAAGGGAUGGUUCAGUCUCUCAUCUGGAUUUCUUACAUAUUCUUACAUAUAUUGAAAGGCCUAUAGUAGUAGAAAUACCUUUAACCUAAAUGAAAAUAAAUAAAUACAUAAAUAAAUAAUAGUGUGUGCUAAUAACAGAAAGAUAAAUUCAAAACACAAAUCAGAACCUUUUCACAGUUAGUAUUUCACCUCUAGAAUAAUUGAUACACAGAUGUAAUAGACCUGUAAUCACCCUUUAAGAGUGAACUAAGAAAUGCUUAAGCAUUUAGCACUUAAGCAGAGUUAAAGAGGUUAUGUUGAAGUUAAUGUAACAGGGUAUUUGAACUCUGUUAUGCAUAAUCCUUUCCUGUAUUUGCAUGUAAGUCUCACUACCUGCACAAGCCUGGGGUAAUAGUUCUUCCUGUCAUAAUCUCGCUGUAAUUUUCAUCCCUAAAUUUUUUCCAUAAGGCUUAAAUUAUGUGCUCUGAUUGAAAAACAAAUAAUCCAGUUUGAAGUUUAAAAAUGAAAGGUAAUCUCUGGCUUUACUUUUGCUUCAAACCUUCUGGUUCCAUGUUUUCCUAGUAACAAACAUAGUGCAUAUUUCUAAAAGGCAGUUGACAAGAAAUGUUUCUCAUUAUUUUAAAAACGACAUAUGGGCUCCUUGCUGCACUUCAUGUUUGCUUUCUCCACUGCCUUUUGCACAGCGUGUAGACCACUUGGUUAUGGCCAAAGCUGUUCUUUGGACAGCAGAAGAAGGAUACCAUAUAGGAGCAGAAUCUAUUUUAUUGUAGACUGGGCAAUUCAUGAACCAGAAGGAGGAAAAAAUGCAAGCCAUUGGAUGAACUGAAGCUGCCAUGGUCAUUCCCAAAUCACACUUGGCAAUCAGAAGAUGAGCACUGCAGAGAGAGACAUCAGUAAGCAGUAUGAUCUGCAUGGAAAAACCUACAAGAUGCAUAAGACAAGACCAAUGUAUGUAUAGGAUUUGUGAGAUCCCUCUCAACCAUGGAGUAGAGUUUUCAUCAAACUUUCAGAGAGAUAAUUUAGAGCUAUGGCUUGCUAGCUCAAAACAAUAGUUCAUAGCCCUUGAUGCUUAGUUUGACAAGCGUCUCAGGGAAAGAGAGCGGUGCUUACCUUAAAUCACUUGAAAUGUGAUUUGUACAUGUGAUUCUUCUUCUGUGCUCCUGCAGUCAUGAUUUUAUCACAUUGAGAUCAAGGCACUUCAACACAGAAGAAUGUAAACUUCAGUCAUUUUACUUCUUUUGGCUCUGAACCAGGCUGGCAUCAGCUUGGAGUGUAAGAAAUUGCAACUGACGGUCCACAAAACAAAUUGCUCCACUAAAUAGCUACUAUUUAAGAAGAAAAAAAUCUCACAUCCCCAGUUAAGAUUAUUCAUUUAAGAGAUGUGCCUUUAGUGUAAAUCAUCACGAGGCAGCCUUUUACAAUACACAAGAGGUAACAUCUUGGGUGUAGAACUUUCCUGACAGAGGAAAAUACUGUGAAAGGUAUGGAGGAACAUAAAACACUAUCACUGUUGAAAUGGCUGACAAAACACUCAAAUACCUUGAGAGGGUCCACAUCUGCUUAUUCUGCAAACUGUUAUUUACAAGCUAAACAGAAAAAUCCUGCACAGAAAACUGUCUGUAGGCACACUAAAGAGUUUCUCUGAUUAAUUGCGAUUAAGACAGAAUUACAUCACAGACCUCCUUAGUUGCCUUUGUUAUAUUUCUUUGCCACUUCCAUCUACACAAAGUACGUUAAUAUUAAGUUAACAUAAUUUUUUAUUCUUGUUUUUCUCAGAUUAUUAUUUAUUCAGAUAAUCCAUUUUAAAAGCGAUUCUUUAAAAUCAAGAACUACUAAAAAAAUGUCCAAAGAACUACACUCCCUUUCCUGCUUUCUUCUAACUUAAUAACAUCUCCUCAAAGGUCAUACAAUGAUGGCUUGUAAUUCAGUAAACAAGAGGAAGUUUUUCUGGCCCUUAAUACAAGCAAGUGCU